UGCAGCUUCUGCUGGUGGGAAGGCCGAAUGGCAGAGCCCAGGGAAGUUAUGUAACGGGCCCAGCUAAUGAGUGGCAGAGGCCAGAGGGCUUGGCCUGCGGAACUGUCUAAGGUCAGAGGCCGUCCAUACACUCUUUCCACAUAGGAACAUCUCCUGAAGGGGAAGCGGGCUCUUCUAAGAGGCACAGGGAUAAUGUCAAAAUCCUGUCCUCAGAUUGAGAGGCUGUUUCGUGGGCACCGAAUUCUGGGUCAGGAAAGCAGCCUGCAUCCACGAGUAUCCUUGGGUUACUAAGUGGGGCCAGUGGCUCCAGGUGUAACCGAUUUAAGUUUGCCAGACAGCUGGAAUGUUCUGGUGAAGGACCUGAAGUGUACGGCCACACCGGUCCCAGAAGAGCCUGGGAGAAGGGAGGAUGGUGAACACAGCGGAGUUCUGCUGCAAAGCCGAAGAUGGUCCUGGCGCGUGGCAUGACUCACCUGACCCAACAUCAGGAGAUCUGACUUCAUAAAAGUGAACUAUCACAAUGCUUCUUUGCAAGCUGUGUGUGUGCGUAAAAGCGUUGAAACUUCCUUAAUAAAUGAAAAGAUAUCUUU
Molecule: long non-coding RNA, 590 nt
Filed under: Pongo abelii (Sumatran orangutan)
Lineage: Eukaryota; Metazoa; Chordata; Mammalia; Primates; Hominidae
Description: lincRNA
Source: RNAcentral